UGGACCAUCAGGCAAGGCUAAAUACUCCUCAAUGACCGAUAGUGAACCAGUACCGUGAGGGAAAGGUGAAAAGAACCGCUGGCGCGGAGUGAAAUAGACCCUGAAACCGUAUGCUUACAAGAAGUCAGAGCCCUUUUAUGGGUGAUGGCGUGCCUUUUGUAGAAUGAACCGGCGAGUUACGAUAGCUAGCGAGGUUAAGUGGAAAACACGGAGCCGUAGCGAAAGCGAGUCUUAAUAGGGCGUCUUAGUUAGUUGUCGUAGACCCGAAGCCGUUGUGAUCUAGCCAUGACCAGGUUGAAGUUUGGGUGAAACCAAAUGGAGGACCGAACCAACCAUCGUUGAAAAGCUGGUGGAUGAGUUGUGGCUAGCGGAGAAAUUCCAAUCGAACACGGCGAUAGCUGGUUCUCCCCGAAAUAGCUUUAGGGCUAGCGUCGGAGUAAAGAUAUUGGCAGGUAGAGCACUGAAUUCAUGAUGGCCCCAUCCCGGGGUACUGAUUGGAAUCAAACUCCGAAUGGUCAAUAUUGUUUUCCGGCAGUCAGACUGCGAGUGAUAAGGUCCGUGGUCAAAAGGGAAACAGCCCAGAUCAUCGGUUAAGGUCCCAAAAUCUAUGCUAAGUGGAAAAGGAUGUGGGGAUGCGUGGACAGCUAGGAGGUUGGCUCAGAAGCAGCCACCCUUCAAAGAGUGCGUAACAGCUCACUAGUCGAGUGCCCCUGCGCCGAAAAUUUACCGGGGCUAAGCAUAGUACCGAAACCAUGGAUUUGUACCUAGUACAAGUGGUAGGGGAGCGUUCCUGUUGCAUUGAAGGUAUACCGUAAGGAGUGCUGGAGCGGCAGGAAGUGAGAAUGCCGGUGUGAGUAACGAGAUGCAGGUGAGAAUCCUGCACACCGAUUGACUAAGGUUUCCAGGGCAAGGGUCGUCCUCCCUGGGUAAGUCGGGACCUAAGGCGAGGCCGAAAGGCGUAGUCGAUGGACAACAGGUUGAUAUUCCUGUACCCGUAUGCGUAAUGAUGGAGUGACAGAUGGGGAAGAUGAGAGCCCCUUAUCGGAUUGGAGUUUAAGCGUAGCAGAUGUCUAAUAGGCAAAUCCGUUAGAUAAAUCAAGGACGCGAGUACGAGCGAACACGCGAGUAAGUAGCGAAGUCUCAUUCAUCCUGUCUCAAGAAAAGCUUCUAAGUUUAUAUGCAUGCGGCCCGUACCAAAACCGACACAGGUGGUCAAGGCGAAUAGCCUAAGGUGAGCGAGAGAACUGUUGCCAAGGAACUCGGCAAAAUCGUCCCGUAACUUCGGGAGAAGGGACGCUCUAACGAGCCACAGUAAAUAGGCCCAAGCAACUGUUUAACUAAAACACAGCUCUCUGCUAAACCGCAAGGUGAUGUAUAGGGGGUGACGCCUGCCCGGUGCUGGAAGGUCAAGGGGAUUAGUUAGGACUUGUCCGAAGCUUUGAACCGAAGCCCCAGUGAACGGCGGCCGUAACUAUAACGGUCCUAAGGUAGCGAAAUUCCUUGUCAGGUAAGUUCUGACCCGCACGAAAGGCGUAAUGAUUUGGGCGCUGUCUCGGCAGCAGACUCGGUGAAAUCUUAGUACCUGUGAAGAUGCAGGUUACCCGCAACUAGACGGAAAGACCCCAUGGAGCUUUACUAUAACUUGAUAUUGAGUUUCGGUUAGAUAUGCACAGGAUAGGUGGGAGGCAUUGAGACGUGAGUUUUGGCUUACGAGGAGCCGCCGUUGGGAUACCACUCUUAUUUAAUUGGAAUUCUAACCUGCUCCCCUGAUCGGGGAGAGGGACAGUGUCAGGCGGGUAGUUUGACUGGGGCGGUCGCCUCCCAAAGAGUAACGGAGGCGCUCAAAGGUACUCUCAGAUUGGUUGGAAAUCAAUCGUCGAGCGUAAUUGCAGAAGAGUGCUUGACUGCAAGACUUACAAGUCGAGCAGGGACGAAAGUCGGAAAUAGUGAUCCUGCGGUUCAGUAUGGAAUGGCCGUGGCUUAACGGAUAAAAGCUACCCUGGGGAUAACAGGCUGAUCUCCCCCAAGAGUUCACAUCGACGGGGAGGUUUGGCACCUCGAUGUCGGCUCAUCGCAUCCUGGAGCUGAAUUCGGUUCCAAGGGUUGGGCUGUCCGCCCAUUAAAGCGGUACGCGAGCUGGGUUCAGAACGUCGUGAGACAGUUUGGUCCCUAUCUGUUGUGGGCGUUGGAAAUUUGAGGAGUGCUGUCCUUAGUACGAGAGGACCGGGAUGGACGUACCGAUGGUGCACCAGUUGUCCUGCCAAGGGCAUAGCUGGGUAGCUAAGUACGGAUGAGAUAAACGCUGAAGGCAUCUAAGCGUGAAACUCGCUCCAAGAUGAGAUUUCCCAUUGAUUUAAUCAAGUAAGACCCCUUAAAUACUAUGAGGUAAUAGGUCAGACGUGUACGCAUGGUGACAUGUUUAGCGGACUGAUACUAAUCGGUCGAGGAUUUUAUCUAA
This 2458-nucleotide ribosomal RNA is filed under the name Opisthocomus hoazin. Its description in RNAcentral is "Bacterial large subunit ribosomal RNA". It matches the Rfam family "Bacterial large subunit ribosomal RNA", at positions 449 to 2925 of the family's 2925-position model. Lineage: Eukaryota; Metazoa; Chordata; Aves; Opisthocomiformes; Opisthocomidae. The record is from Rfam by way of RNAcentral.